Raphanus sativus (radish) is the source of this 1766-nucleotide RNA transcript. It is a transcript of the gene named ETHYLENE INSENSITIVE 3-like 3 protein, with no coding region annotated. The record is from RefSeq and is a predicted model, not a curated record. The transcript has 2 exons. Lineage: Eukaryota; Viridiplantae; Streptophyta; Magnoliopsida; Brassicales; Brassicaceae.
CGUCACUUAUUUAAUUCAGACCAAUGAAAACACAGCAUACAUCCACGUCGAUCUACCUUUCCUCUGAUGGGCUUGAACCGAAAUCAGACUCUGGGCUUUUAAUCUGAGCUAAUGAACGCGAUUGUGUUUUCCGUUUCUCUUCGAUUGACGAAGGCGGUGACGAUUCAGUUCCUGUAACGGGCGGCGUUGUGAUUACUCUGUCUUUAAUCCCAUUAAUUUUUAUUUCAGUUGCGUUUUUCCGUCGACGAUUUCGAUAUAAAUAGGUUAGUAACUCUCUUCUGCGGAUCACCAUCUCCAUAAUCUCUAUGCUACUCAUCUUUCUCAUACUCAUCUCUUCCUACACAUCUCUCUUGAUGGCUGCUAACCCGAAAUUGUUUUCUCGACUUGAAAUCCGGCCGGUUUUCAUCGGUUGUCGAGGCCAGGCUGCUCGGGUGGGGAGCUUAUUCUGGUGGAUUUGCUCAUGGUGGAUGUUGAGUGAUCUUUUCUGUUUUAAUCUAUAUAUCGAUUGUUCUGAGAUAUUAUUUACCGUCGUCCUGUUCACGAGUCAUGUUCGUGUGUCCGGUUAACAUCAUGUUGUUAUGUUUUUUUUUCCUGAUUUUUGUUUUUUUUUUUAUAAAAUUAACUCUUAUUUGUUCUGACCUAUUUUCCUCGGCGAACUGUAUCGAACUGAUGACGACUCCCAAAAAAGGUUUUCAAUUUCAAUAGUCAGGGAUGAUUUCGUUUUGUGGGUUGAAUCAAAGUGAUGGAGAAUGUGCCUGAUGACUUAGCUAGCGACAACGUAGCCGAGGUUGACGUGAGCGGUAAAUACAUUGACGCAGUAGACCUCGAGAGACGGCUGUGGAAGGAUCGUGUACGCCUCAAAAGAAUCAAAGAACGUACCAACAAAACCGGUUCCCAAGCGAAGCGCCCAAGAAGAUCUCUGACCAACAAAACUGUGGUGAACAGUGACAAUGAUGUUGACGGGACAGAGGAGGCUUCAGGUUCAUUAACAGCCACCUCGCAGCCAGUAAGAGAUCAAGAUAAAGCAGAGAAACACAGGAGAAGGAAAAGACCAAGAAGCAGAUCAGAAGCUGAACAGAGAAAUGUUAUACCUGACAUGAAUCAUGUUGAUGCCUCUGCUAGGACAUAACAUCAACGGUACUCAUCACCGUGAAGAAGGUGUUUUGGAACCAAACAUAGCCUUAGGACCAGAGGAGAACGGUCUGGUAUUGGUGGUUCCAGAGUUUGAUAGCAACUGUACUCAUCUUCUCCCUGUUAGUGGACAAGCUAUGAUGCCUGUAGAGGAACGGUUUACGGACCAAACCAUAACCAGGAGUUGCAGUUUGGGUCAGGUUAAAACUUCUAUAAUCCUUCUGCAGUGUUUGUGAAUAAUCAGGAAGAAGAUCUUAUAGAAAUGAACCCAUCUCACAACAAUGGGUUUGAGGCCUCAGUAGAAGUACUUCAACCCCACCCCAUGGUUUACAUGAAAAUGAAGAAAGAGAUUUGUCUACUCAGUUUCAGAGUGACAGUAACAGUCUCAGAGAUUUGAUUCCUAUUGUGCAUUUGAUGAUGACUUCUCAUGGUUUCGAGCAUAGUUUCUUGACGUUUUUGUUGGGAGGUUAAGUAAGUAACCAUUGUGAGGUAGCUUAAGAUCUUAUAAUCUUUUGGUAUUGUCUUAAUUUUUUCUUUUUUUUUGGCAAGUUAUGUUGCAGGUUCAAAAAAACAUGGCAGUAGUCUUGAAUAACUAUGAGCUUGAUUAUGAGAUCCAAUUAUUUGCAAAAGACUUA